RNAcentral lists this ribosomal RNA (292 nucleotides) under uncultured eukaryote. RNAcentral describes it as "partial 18S ribosomal RNA". It matches the Rfam family "Eukaryotic small subunit ribosomal RNA", at positions 6 to 310 of the family's 1831-position model. The record is from RNAcentral.
GGUUGAUCCUGCCAGUAGUCAUACGCUCGUCUCAAAGAUUAAGCCAUGCAUGUCUAAGUAUAAAUACUUUUACUUUGAAACUGCGAACGGCUCAUUAUAUAAGUUUUGAUUUAUUUGAUAGUCCCUUACUACUUGGAUAACCGUAGUAAUUCUAGAGCUAAUACAUGCGUCAAUACCCUUCUGGGGUAGUAUUUAUUAGAAAGAAACCAACCCCUUCGGGGUGAUGUGGUGAAUCAUAAUAAGCUUGCGGAUCGCACGGCUUUUGCUGGCGAUGGAUCAUUCAAGAUUCUUC